RNAcentral lists this ribosomal RNA (406 nucleotides) under uncultured bacterium. RNAcentral's name for it is "partial 16S ribosomal RNA". It matches the Rfam family "Bacterial small subunit ribosomal RNA", at positions 30 to 526 of the family's 1533-position model. The record is from RNAcentral.
AUUGAACGCUGGCGGCAGGCCUAACACAUGCAAGUCGAGCGAGUGGCGGACGGGUGAGUAAUGUAUGGGAACCUGCCCGAUAGCGGGGGAUAACUACUGGAAACGGUGGCUAAUACCGCAUACUAUCGGAUGAGCCCAUAUGGGAUUAGCUAGUGGGUGGGUGAAAGGCCUACCUAGGCGACGAUCCCUAGCUGGUCUGAGAGGAUGACCAACCACACUGGGACUGAGACAAGGCCCAGGAUCCUACGGGAGGCAGCAGUGGGGAAUAUUGCGCAAUGGGCGGAAGCCUGAUGCCGCCCUGCCGCGUUGAUGAAGAAGGGCUUAGGGUUGUAAAAUUCUUUUAGCAGGGAGGCGUUACCCGCAGAAGAAGCACCGGCUAACUACGUGCCAGCAGCCGCGGUAAUUC